Molecule: non-coding RNA, 24 nt
Filed under: Arabidopsis thaliana (thale cress)
Lineage: Eukaryota; Viridiplantae; Streptophyta; Magnoliopsida; Brassicales; Brassicaceae
Source: RNAcentral
AGUGGAAGAGGAGCAGCUGAUCUU